This 31-nucleotide non-coding RNA is filed under the name Homo sapiens (human). The record is from RNAcentral. Lineage: Eukaryota; Metazoa; Chordata; Mammalia; Primates; Hominidae.
UGAAACUUCAAGAACUUCAAGGGUAAAUAGC